GCGGACGUGGUGGAAUUGGUAUACACAACAGACUUAAAAUCUGUCGGGCUCACGCCCAUGCCGGUUCAAGUCCGGCCGUCCGCACCA
This 87-nucleotide transfer RNA is filed under the name Rhodospirillaceae bacterium. Its description in RNAcentral is "tRNA-Leu". It matches the Rfam family "tRNA". Rfam says of the family: Transfer RNA (tRNA) molecules are approximately 80 nucleotides in length. Their secondary structure includes four short double-helical elements and three loops (D, anti-codon, and T loops). The record is from RNAcentral. Lineage: Bacteria; Pseudomonadati; Pseudomonadota; Alphaproteobacteria; Rhodospirillales; Rhodospirillaceae. RNAcentral also lists the same sequence under 1 other name.